Molecule: transfer RNA, 72 nt
Filed under: Perkinsus olseni
Lineage: Eukaryota; Perkinsozoa; Perkinsida; Perkinsidae
Rfam family: tRNA
About the family: Transfer RNA (tRNA) molecules are approximately 80 nucleotides in length. Their secondary structure includes four short double-helical elements and three loops (D, anti-codon, and T loops).
Source: Rfam by way of RNAcentral
GGCUGUGUGGUCUAGUGGUAUGAUUCUCGCUUAGGGUGCGAGACGUCCCGAGUUCAAUUCUCGGCACAGCCC